This is a non-coding RNA of Delphinapterus leucas (beluga whale), 905 nucleotides long. Lineage: Eukaryota; Metazoa; Chordata; Mammalia; Artiodactyla; Monodontidae. The record is from RefSeq and is a predicted model, not a curated record.
ACGCGGCGCGCAGGCGGCGCAGGCCGGCCGCGCUCACGUUGCGGCAGAAGUCCACGUGCAGCGUCUGCAGCGCCCGCCCGUGCGCCGCCACGGCCGUCAGCGUGCGGUUGGUGACGCGCGCGCAGUUCUCCAGGCGCAGCGCGCGCAGGCGCGGGCAGGAGCGCAGCAGACGCGCCAGGCAGUCGUCGGUGACGUGGCCGCAGCCCGACAGCGUGACGGAUGCCAGCUAGAAUGAGGACGAAACGGUGGUGCGCCAGCACCAUUGUGGAUGAUGUGGAUAAGAGUCUCACCCAGGGCUGGUGGGACAGAAAGCCAGAGGAGCCCAAUGAUUGUGUGAAACAAACCUAGAUGGAUAACCUCCAACUUUUAUGUGAGAAGAUAAACCACGGAUGUUUAAGUCACCGUUAGUUUUGGUCUUCUAUGCAUGUAGUACCUGAACCCUCAUCCUAUGUUUGAGGAACCCCACCUUAAGAGUCAAAGCCUGCCUCCUACUGUGGAAGCUGAAAAGGCCAGGUACUUGCUCUCUCAGCCCCCACCCGCUCCCCCUUGAAGCUAGGACUCAGGUACACGGCCUGGGUAUGCCUAUUUGAAGCUGGAACAGUGCCAGAUUGUUUCUGGUGGCAAAGAGCACAGUCAGGAGUGCAGGGGCCGAGCAGUAACAGCAGCAUCCACCCAGCACCCAACUCCAGCAGUGCUGGCAAUGGGAACUUCGGUGCAGCAUGGACAGCGGUCCUAAUGGGACACCCUCAUGGAUGCCUAGACUCCAGACCUGAUUUCCCCCGCGUCCACUAAUGAUGUCAAUUUUAGAAUGCCCAAAUCCACACACUCAGCAAGCGGAGUGCUACAUUUGUCCUGCCUACUAGGUAAAUAGAAAUAAAAGAAUUCUAACAAUUAUUAAGAUUGCU